GUGGGGAAUAUUGGGCAAUGGAGGGAACUCUGACCCAGCAACGCCGCGUGAAGGAUGAAGGUUUUCGGAUUGUAAACUUCUGUCGCGAGGGACGAAGAAUGACGGUACCUCGUAAGAAAGCCCCGGCAAACUACGUGCCAGCAGCCGCGGUAAUACGUAGGGGGCGAGCGUUGUCCGGAAUGACUGGGCGUAAAGGGAGUGUAGGCGGCCUUUUAAGUUAUAUGUGAAAUCCCGUGGCUCAACCAUGGAAGUGCAUAUAAAACUGGAGGGCUGGAGUGCAGGAGAGGUAAGUGGAAUUCCUAGUGUAGCGGUGGAAUGCGUAGAUAUUAGGAGGAACACCAGAGGCGAAGGCGGCUUACUGGCCUGUAACUGACGCUGAGGCUCGAAAGCGUGGGGAGCAAACAGGA
This 407-nucleotide ribosomal RNA is filed under the name uncultured bacterium. RNAcentral describes it as "bacterial SSU rRNA". It matches the Rfam family "Bacterial small subunit ribosomal RNA", at positions 354 to 777 of the family's 1533-position model. The record is from RNAcentral.